Molecule: long non-coding RNA, 1933 nt
Filed under: Rhinopithecus bieti (black snub-nosed monkey)
Lineage: Eukaryota; Metazoa; Chordata; Mammalia; Primates; Cercopithecidae
Description: lncRNA (ENSRBIG00000046649.1)
Source: RNAcentral
GGCAUGGUGGCUCAUGCCUAUAAUCGCAGCACUUGGGAGGCUGACGUGGGUGUUCACCUGAGUUCAGGAUUUUGAGAACAGCCUGGCCAACAUGGUGAAACUCAGUCUCUACUAAAAGUACAAAAUUAGGCGUGGUGGCAGACACCUGUAAUCCCAGCUACUCGGGAGGCUGAGGCAGGAGACUCACUUGAACCCGGGAAGUGGAGGUUGCAGUGAGCCAAGAUCUCACCACCUCACUCCAGCCGGGGUGACAGAGCAAGACUCUGUCUCAAUCAAUCAAUUUUUAAAAGAAAGCGAUUUGAGAUGUAUUUAGGAGCUUUCCAUGUUAAUGUACCAAAGGAACUCUUUCCGCCUGUAGCAUACAUCGGUGAACAGCAUGAGGGGCACUUAGGAAAGUGUGGCCUAUAGAGAAAGCAGCCUGGCCUCUGCUCUUAGGACCUGAAACUUUCUGGUACUUUUGGUAUUUGGAUAUUGCCCCUUGGCCAUAGAAAAUCCUGGGGACCCUGUGAAGUAUAUAUGUCUGGUCUUUGGAGUGUGGUAUUCAGGUGGCUGCUUUAGAGGGUAAGGUUUAUUCUAUUUUUUCGUUUUUUUUUUUUUUUUUGAGAUGGAGUCUCGUUCUGUUGCCCACGUUGGAGUGUGGUGGCGCAGUCCUGGCUCACUGCAGUCUUCGCCUCUUGGGUUCAAGUGAUUCUCCCUGCCUCAACCUCCCAAGGUGCUGGGAUUACAGGUGUGCGCCACCACGCCCGACUAAUUUUUGUAUUAGUAGAGAUGGGGUUUUGCCAUGUUGACCAGGCUCAUCUUGAAUUCCUGACCUCAGGUGAUCCUCCUGCCUUGGCUUUCCAAAGUGUUGGGAUUACAGGUGUGAGUUACUGCCUCUGGCGUAGAGUACGGUUUAUUCUUAGGAGUAAUCAUUGGCACGUGUGUCCUUGCAAAAGCCAAGGCCUAGUUGCUAAUACAGGUAACCUUAGGACUGUCACUUCCUUGCUUUAUACAAUGUUUCUACAGUUAAUAUUAAAUAACGUAAGGCAGAGAAUGUCUGUCCCUCCAUGUUUAGAUGAAACUGGUCCAUUUGCUUCUAAGUGUUCUUGCCUAUUUAUGUUUUUAUUUAUAAAUGUACAACUCCUUCUUUGCUUAGGAUCAAAGAUGAGGAAGAAGAGACAGUCUUUCGAGAGGUGGUCAGUUUUUCCCCGGACCCCCUGCCAGUUAGAUAUUAUGACAAGGACACCACCAAACCUGUCAGCUUUUACUUGUCUUCGCUGGAGGAACUCUUGGCGUGGACGCCCCGCAUGGAGGAUGGCUUUAACGUGGCCCUGGAGCCCCUGGCGUGUCGCCAGCCCCCUCUGAGCAGCCAGAGGCCCCGGACUUUGUUGUGUCAUGACAUGAUGGGGGGAUAUCUGGACGACAGGUGAGGACCUGGCCUUACAUUGAUUGUUUUUCUUUGCUGGAGUGGGGGCUGGAGGGGCAGGAGAGAGUGCUAUGUGUAGAAAGAGCACUGGGCGGGGAGUCAGGAGACGGGCAUUGGAGGGACUGCACUAACUGCGAGAGGAAGGCAGGCCCCAGUGUUUCAUCCGUAAAACGGGAAGAUUGGGCUGGGCUCGGCCCAGCACUUUGGGAGGUCAAGGCAGGGGGAUCACCUAAGGUCAGGAGUUUGAGACCAGCCUGGCCAACAUGGCGAAACUCUGCCCCUACUAAAAAUAGAAAAAUUAGCCAGGCGUGGUGGUAGGUGCCUGUAAUCCCAGCUACUUAGGGGGUUAAUGCAGGAGAAUUGCUUGAACCAGGGAGGCAGAGAUUGCAGUGAGCCAAGAUUGCACCACUACACUCCAGCCUGGGCAACAGAGUGAGACUCUGUCUCAAAAAAAAAAAAAAAAAAAAAAGAAAAUGGGUUUAGGAGGGGUUUUUUUCCCUUUUCCGCCCUAAAAUCUUUUGACCCCUU